This 253-nucleotide ribosomal RNA is filed under the name uncultured bacterium. RNAcentral describes it as "partial 16S ribosomal RNA". It matches the Rfam family "Bacterial small subunit ribosomal RNA", at positions 524 to 776 of the family's 1533-position model. The record is from RNAcentral.
UACGUAGGGUGCAAGCGUUGUCCGGAAUUAUUGGGCGUAAAGAGCGUGUAGGCGGCCCGACCAGUCCGCUGUGAAAGUCCAGGGCUCAACCCUGGAAUGCCGGUGGAUACUGUCGGGCUAGAGUCCGGAAUGGGCGAGUGGAAUUCCUGGUGUAGCGGUGGAAUGCGUAGAGAUUCGGAAGAACACCCAUGGCGAAGGCAGCACUCUGGGCUUGACCUGACGCUGAGGAACGAAAGCCAGGGGAGCAAACGGG